RNAcentral lists this ribosomal RNA (261 nucleotides) under Clostridioides difficile. RNAcentral describes it as "partial 23S ribosomal RNA". It matches the Rfam family "Bacterial large subunit ribosomal RNA", at positions 2559 to 2819 of the family's 2925-position model. Lineage: Bacteria; Bacillati; Bacillota; Clostridia; Peptostreptococcales; Peptostreptococcaceae. The record is from RNAcentral.
UAGGUCCCAAGGGUUGGGCUGUUCGCCCAUUAAAGUGGUACGCGAGCUGGGUUCAGAACGUCGUGAGACAGUUCGGUCCCUAUCCGUCGCAGGCGUAGGAAAUUUGAGAAGACCUGUCCUUAGUACGGGAGGACCGGGAUGGACGUACCUCUGGUGUACCAGUUGUUCUGCCAAGGGCAUGGCUGGGUAGCUAUGUACGGAAUGGAUAAGCGCUGAAAGCAUCUAAGCGCGAAGCCAACUUCAAGAUAAGAUUUCCCACCG